Molecule: ribosomal RNA, 497 nt
Filed under: uncultured bacterium
Lineage: Bacteria
Description: partial 16S ribosomal RNA
Rfam family: Bacterial small subunit ribosomal RNA
Source: RNAcentral
GAUGAACGCUGGCGGCGUGCCUAAUACAUGCAAGUCGAGCGAACAGACGAGGAGCUUGCUCCUCUGACGUUAGCGGCGGACGGGUGAGUAACACGUGGAUAACCUACCUAUAAGACUGGGAUAACUUCGGGAAACCGGAGCUAAUACCGGAUAAUAUAUUGAACCGCAUGGUUCAAUAGUGAAAGACGGUUUUGCUGUCACUUAUAGAUGGAUCCGCGCCGCAUUAGCUAGUUGGUAAGGUAACGGCUUACCAAGGCGACGAUGCGUAGCCGACCUGGGGGGGGGAUAGGCCACACUGGAACGGAGACACGGUCCAGACGCCUACGGGAGGCAGCAGUAGGGAAUCUUCCGCAAUGGGCGAGAGCCUGACGGAGCAACGCCGCGUGAGUGAUGAAGGUCUUCGGAUCGUAAAACUCUGUUAUUAGGGAAGAACAAAUGUGUAAGUAACUAUGCACGUCUUGACGGUACCUAAUCAGAAAGCCACGGCUAACUACGUG